Molecule: transfer RNA, 66 nt
Filed under: Alexandromys limnophilus (Lacustrine vole)
Lineage: Eukaryota; Metazoa; Chordata; Mammalia; Rodentia; Cricetidae
Description: tRNA-Phe
Rfam family: tRNA
About the family: Transfer RNA (tRNA) molecules are approximately 80 nucleotides in length. Their secondary structure includes four short double-helical elements and three loops (D, anti-codon, and T loops).
Source: RNAcentral
GUUAAUGUAGCUUAUAUAAAGCAAAGCACUGAAAAUGCUUAGAUGGAUGCCCACAUCCCAUAAACA